UACGAAGGGGGCUAGCGUUGUUCGGAAUUACUGGGCGUAAAGCGCACGUAGGCGGACAUUUAAGUCAGGGGUGAAAUCCCGGGGCUCAACCCCGGAACUGCCUUUGAUACUGGGUGUCUCGAGUCCGGAAGAGGUGAGUGGAACUCCGAGUGUAGAGGUGAAAUUCGUAGAUAUUCGGAAGAACACCAGUGGCGAAGGCGACUUACUGGUCCGAUACUGACGCUGAGGCGCGAAAGCGUGGGGAGCAAACAGG
This 253-nucleotide ribosomal RNA is filed under the name uncultured bacterium. RNAcentral describes it as "partial 16S ribosomal RNA". It matches the Rfam family "Bacterial small subunit ribosomal RNA", at positions 524 to 776 of the family's 1533-position model. The record is from RNAcentral.